This 465-nucleotide ribosomal RNA is filed under the name uncultured bacterium. RNAcentral describes it as "partial 16S ribosomal RNA". It matches the Rfam family "Bacterial small subunit ribosomal RNA", at positions 28 to 505 of the family's 1533-position model. The record is from RNAcentral.
GACGAACGCUGGCGGCGUGCUUAACACAUGCAAGUCGAACGGAAAGGCUCCAGCUUGCUGGAGUACUCGAGUGGCGAACGGGUGAGUAACACGUGGGUAAUCUGCCCUGCACUCUGGGAUAAGCCUGGGAAACUGGGUCUAAUACUGGAUAUGACCUUUCUCCUUAUGGGGUUUGGUGGAAAGUUUUUCGGUGUAGGAUGAGCCCGCGGCCUAUCAGCUUGUUGGUGGGGUGAUGGCCUACCAAGGCGACGACGGGUAGCCGGCCUGAGAGGGUGAUCGGCCACAUUGGGACUGAGAUACGGCCCAGACUCCUACGGGAGGCAGCAGUGGGGAAUAUUGCACAAUGGGCGGAAGCCUGAUGCAGCGACGCCGCGUGAGGGAUGACGGCCUUCGGGUUGUAAACCUCUUUCAGCAGGGACGAAGCGUAAGUGACGGUACCUGCAGAAGAAGCACCGGCGAACUAUG